Molecule: transfer RNA, 68 nt
Filed under: Caudoviricetes sp.
Lineage: Duplodnaviria; Heunggongvirae; Uroviricota; Caudoviricetes
Description: tRNA-OTHER
Source: RNAcentral
GUUAUGCCGUUAUUGUUUGUUGCUUCCCAAGCAGAAGGCGGCGGGUUCGAGUCCCGUACCCUGCUCCA